CAAGGUCUCCGUAGGUGAACCUGCGGAGGGAUCAUUACACAAUACAAUAUGAAGGCUGUCCGCAGCUGGAGUAUUUUAUUACCCUUGUCUUUUGCGCACUUGUUGUUUCCUGGGCGGGUUCGCUCGCCACCAGGACCACCAAAUAAACCUUUUUUAUGCAGUUGCAAUCAGCGUCAGUACAAACAAUGUAAAUCAUUUACAACUUUCAACAACGGAUCUCUUGGUUCUGGCAUCGAUGAAGAACGCAGCGAAAUGCGAUACGUAGUGUGAAUUGCAGAAUUCAGUGAAUCAUCGAAUCUUUGAACGCACAUUGCGCCCUUUGGUAUUCCAAAGGGCAUGCCUGUUCGAGCGUCAUUUGUACCCUCAAGCUUUGCUUGGUGUUGGGCGUUUUUGUCUUUGGUCGCCCAAAGACUCGCCUUAAAGUGAUUGGCAGCCGGCCUUUCUGGUUUCGCAGCGCAGCACAUUUUUGCGCUUGCCAUCAGCAAAACGGCAAUCCAUCAAGCCUCCUUC
Molecule: ribosomal RNA, 510 nt
Filed under: Bipolaris sp. PSU-ES141
Lineage: Eukaryota; Fungi; Ascomycota; Dothideomycetes; Pleosporales; Pleosporaceae
Description: eukaryotic LSU rRNA
Rfam family: 5.8S ribosomal RNA (bases 201-354)
Source: RNAcentral